RNAcentral lists this microRNA precursor (96 nucleotides) under Mus musculus (house mouse). RNAcentral's name for it is "predicted gene, 54473 (ENSMUSG00002076289.1)". The record is from RNAcentral. Lineage: Eukaryota; Metazoa; Chordata; Mammalia; Rodentia; Muridae.
AUAUAUAUAUAUAUAUAUAUGUGUGUGUGUGUGUGUGUGUGUGUGUGUGUGUAUUAUAUAUACACACACACACAUAUAUAUAUAUAUAUAUAUAUA